GGAGGAUCCAAGCGUUAUCCGGAAUCAUUGGGUUUAAAGGGUCCGUAGGCGGUUUAGUAAGUCAGUGGUGAAAGCCCAUCGCUCAACGGUGGAACGGCCAUUGAUACUGCUAAACUUGAAUUAUUAGGAAGUAACUAGAAUAUGUAGUGUAGCGGUGAAGUGCUUAGAGAUUACAUGGAAUACCAAUUGCGAAGGCAGGUUACUACUAAUUGAUUGACGCUGAUGGACGAAAGCGUGGGUAGCGAACAGGAUUAGAUACCCUGGUAGUCCACGCCGUAAACGAUGGAUACUAGCUGUUGGGAGCAAUCUCAGUGGCUAAGCGAAAGUGAUAAGUAUCCCACCUGGGGAGUACGAACGCAAGUUUG
This 365-nucleotide ribosomal RNA is filed under the name uncultured bacterium. RNAcentral's name for it is "bacterial SSU rRNA". It matches the Rfam family "Bacterial small subunit ribosomal RNA", at positions 527 to 896 of the family's 1533-position model. The record is from RNAcentral.